AUUGCCUCAGUAACGGCGAGUGAAGCGGCAACAGCUCAAAUUUGAAAUCUGGCCCUUUCAGGGUCCGAGUUGUAAUUUGCAGAGGGUGCUUUGGCGUUGGCCGUGGUCUAAGUUCCUUGGAACAGGACGUCACAGAGGGUGAGAAUCCCGUACGUGGCCGCCGGUCUUCGCCGUGUAAAGCCCCUUCGACGAGUCGAGUUGUUUGGGAAUGCAGCUCUAAAUGGGAGAUACAUUUCUUCUAAAGCUAAAUAUUGGCCAGAGACCGAUAGCGCACAAGUAGAGUGAUCGAAAGAUGAAAAGCACUUUGGAAAGAGAGUCAAAAAGCACGUGAAAUUGUUGAAAGGGAAGCGCUUGCAGCCAGACGUGCCCGCAGUUGCUCACCCAGGCUCUUGCCUGGGGCACUCUUCUGCGGGCAGGCCAGCAUCAGUUCGGGCGGUUGGAUAAAGGUCUCUAUCACGUACCACCCUUCGGGGUGUCCUUAUAGGGGAGACGCAACACGGCCAGCCUGAACUGAGGACCGCGCAUCAGCUAGGAUGCUGGCGUAAUGGCUGUAAGCGGCCCGUCUUGAAACACGGACCAAGGAGUCUAACAUCUAUGCGAGUGUUUGGGUGUAAAGCCCGGGCGCGCAAUGAAAGUGAACGGAGGUGGGAACCCUUUGGGUGCACCAUCGACCGAUCCUGAAGUCUUCGGAUGGAUUUGAGUAAGAGCAUAGCUGUUGGGACCCGAAAGAUGGUGAACUAUGCCUGAAUAGGGUGAAGCCAGGGGAAACCCUGGUGGAGGCUCGCAGCGGUUCUGACGUGCAAAUCGAUCGUCAAAUUUGGGCAUAGGGGCG
RNAcentral lists this ribosomal RNA (832 nucleotides) under Neoroussoella solani. RNAcentral describes it as "partial large subunit ribosomal RNA". It matches the Rfam family "Eukaryotic large subunit ribosomal RNA", at positions 74 to 925 of the family's 3401-position model. The record is from RNAcentral. Lineage: Eukaryota; Fungi; Ascomycota; Dothideomycetes; Pleosporales; Thyridariaceae.